This is a non-coding RNA of Monodelphis domestica (gray short-tailed opossum), 3600 nucleotides long. The record is from RefSeq and is a predicted model, not a curated record. NCBI's taxonomy places the organism in Eukaryota, Metazoa, Chordata, Mammalia, Didelphimorphia, Didelphidae.
GGGUCCAGUACAAAAACUUGGGGGAGGGAGUAUUUUAUUUUUUGCUGUUGUCUUGUUGAUGUUCCUCACUGACUGUUAAUUAUUUCCUUGACAGAACUAAGUUAUUUCAGUCUAGAUUUGAGAUUCUAUUGGUUUGAGGGCUUCUGAGGCAAAGAAUUUAUCCCCUUGUGCUGAGUUCCAACUCUUCUUUAGCUCAGGAUCUGAGUGUUAACUGAGGUCAUAGAGGCCAUGGGAAUUUCCCAUAAUCACUCAACAAGUCUCUAUCAGAGGCAGAAACUGAAACCUAAGUCUUCCUGAUUCUCAGCUGUCACUCUGUCUCUCAGAGUAGAAAUUACUUUUAAAAAAGGAUGAUUCAGGAAGGUCAAGUCUAUAUAAGAGCACAUCCACUGAAGCCCUUCUAAUGCUCCUUUGUGGCCUGGGGAGCUGACCCCAGACUCAUGAAGGCUCUACUAGAUCCCACAAAUCUCAAGGAAAGGUUUUCUGAAGGGGGCCAGUGGUUGCCUGUUUAUCUAGAGGCAUUGUGGUGCCACAGAAGUAAUGAUGGAUUUGGAGGCAGAAGACUUGAGUUAUGAUUCCAACUCAGUCCCUUCUGAUUUCUAUGACUUCAAGCAAUUUAAUUUAACUCAAUUCAGCAGACGUUGAUUAAGUCCCUUCAUCUCUGAGGGCCUAUUCCUCAUCUGUCAAACUAAGGGUUCAGACUAGAUAAAUCUAAGACUCCUUCUAGUUCUAAACCCUUGAUCCCAAGUUUUGUUGUUCAAGGACUAGUCUGCCUCAAUUCACAGAAGCUUGCUGGUCCCAGGACGAUGCAUUUUGGGCUACAACAAACUCUUUAAGGCCAUUGACUCAAUUAAAGAAGUGCCCUAGCCUCUGCUGGCAGAGAGUUUCUAUACCAUCCAAAGGAUGGGGCCUUAAAAUACUAAGAGCUGGGUAGAGAAGAAGCUUCUCGAGGACAAGACUGUGGUACUUGUCUUUGUAGCUGCAGUGCCUGGCACAGUUGAACUGUGUUGUAUUGAAGCCACAUCUCUUUCAGGAUCUGACCCAGGCUACCCAUAAUGCUGUGUGACUUGGUCAAUAUUUGCUCACAAGGUGUUGUCCAGGGAGGUAGAUAUGAAAAAUAGGAACUAGUGAGUGACUGCUGGACGCAGAGUAUAAGAGCCCAGCAGCAGAUGGCUUGCUCACUUCCAGGGUGUGGGGUAUGUUCUGUUCCCAAAUCAGCCACAAGAACACAGCUAUUGCCUGGGGAAGCCUGGGGAAGGCAAGGAACUGGAUGGAGGUGACUAAGAAUUGAAAGUCUCCUUUGGCUUUCAGUCAAGACAUUCCUGGUGGAGAUGCUGCCAUCACAGUCUGAUACCAUGGAGACACUUGGAACUCAGAACACAUUUACAAGCUCAAGACCCUCUAAUCCUCCUAGAGGGCUCAGGGAAGGCAUUUCUAUAGUUUAUGCAAGUCAAUUCAAUCUAAAGAGCAUUUAGUAAGUACCUACUGUGUGCUAGGCACUGUACUAUGUGUUGGGGAUACAAGGACAAAAAUAACUCUUGCUCACAGGGGGCUUCCAUUCUACUUGGGCCAUUUAUACAGCUCCAAUGGCCAGUACGAUGGUGGGUGAUUUAGAGAGAAGUCAGAAAGAUAAGUUAGCUUAUUUUACUAAAGCUGAUUGCAUUGAAAAUGAACUCUGGUUUAUCCCUGUAAGGAUUACCUACUUUACAGUUCAUUUUAAGCCUUAAGCUUGCUUUCCUCCAUCAACCAACAUUAUAUUGGGCCUCUUCCCUUGUUAUUAUGGGGUACCUGAUUGAAAUCUACAACAAUGUUCUCUCUCUCUCUCAAUCUCUCUCUCUCCAUCUAUCUAUCUAUCUAUUUGUCUGUCUGUCUGUCUAUAUCUCUUUGUCUGUAUAUCUAUGUGUCUAUCUCUCUAGCUAUCUGUCUGGCUGUCUCUCUAUAUCUUUUUAUGUUUAUUUAUCUGUCUGUCUAUCUGUCUGUCUGUUGUCUGUCUAUAUCUCUUUGCAUAUCUAUCUAUCUGUCUAUAUCUCUUUGUAUAUCUAUCUGUCUAUCUAUAUAUCUGUCUGCCUAUAUCUCUUUGUCUGUAUAUCUGUCUGUCCAUCUAUUUCUUUGUCUGUCUAUCUAUCUAUCUAUCUAUCUAUCUAUCUAUCUAUCCAUCUGUCCGUCUGUCUGUCUGUCUAUAUCUCUUUGUCCGUAUAUCUAUCUGUCUAUCUGUCUAUCUGUCUGUCUGUUGUCUGUCUAUAUCUCUUUGUAUAUCUAUCUGUCUAUCUAUAUAUCUGUCUGCCUAUAUCUCUUUGUCUGUAUAUCUGUCUGUCCAUCUAUCUCUUUGUCUAUCUAUAUAUCUGUCUGUCUAUAUCUCUUUGUCUGCAUAUCUGUCUGUCCAUCUAUCUCUUUGUCUAUCUAUCUAUCUGUCUGUCUGUCUAUAUCUAUCUCUUUGUCUGUAUAUCUAUCUGUCUAUCUCUGUCUAUCUAUCUACACAUCUCUGUCUAUCUCUCUGUAGUGUGCAUGUAUGUGUGUACAUAUGUGUCCAUGUGUAUGUGCACUUUGGCAUCCUGGAUGCAGAAUGAGAAGCUUUACAAAUCAUUUCCCUUCACCCCAUUCCUCCAAAUGGGGAAUGAAAUAAGACGCUGGCUGUCACAUGGGCUACCUACAAAUAAAGCAUGUAGCCCCAAGAUGAACAAUGUGUCUGAAUGUGCAUAGGUUCCCCCACGUCUAAUUUCUGGCUCUUUCCUGGAAAGGGGUCAACACCCAGAACUGCUUUAAGGGCCCCCUCCCCCCCUACCCACCCACUUGUUUUGAAACUGCAAACUUAGAAUUUGGGGUGUUGGUUCAGGAGAAAGGGAAGGCUGCUUCACGAACGGCUCUGUUUGGAGGUUUCAAUGGCGGUGCUCCUUUGAGCGUCUCAGACUCCUCCGCAGCCUCCUCCAGAGCCCAGCAGUGCUGGGCUUUCCUGAGCCCCUACUUGUGAGCUCUUCCUCCCUCCUGACCUGAUGCCUUUCUAUGACUUCAUGUUCAUUCCUUUGGGUAUCCACUAUUUCCCCCCAGGAGAAUCUAAGCUCCUUGAGGGAGGAACUUUUGUCUAUACCUCUGAUCUAGUGAGCUUAGUAAAUGUUUGAAUUGAAGGGACUUUCUAAGAUAGGAAUGUUGGCAAGAGCCAGUGUGGAGGCAUAGUUGGCAAAUGGAGCCGGACUUGAAGCGAGGCUGAAGUUCUGUAUCUGAAUGUGUGACAUUGGACAAGUCAUUUAACCUCUUACUCCUCAGGAACUCUAUAAGUCGAUUAGAAAACGUCCUUUGGUGACUUCUGGUUUCAGAGCCAAGAAGGCUGAGUAGAAGCAGGGAAGCUCAAAAUCAGCAUAAGAAUCCUUUCCAACCAGUCCUAAAAUAACACCACAAAAUGAAUAUGGGAGUGAAAGGACCAAUGAAGAAAGAGAAUGAAACAAUUUUCAAGAAGAGAAAAACCUUAAAGGGCCAGCUUCUGGAGGUCGGAUGGAACAAUACAGCCAGUGCCCGGGAUGAUAUUCAGAGAAAUCUGAACUGCUGUGGAUUCCGGAGUUUUAAUCCGAAUGACACCUGCCUUGCUAGCUGCCUUAAAAACGACCACCA